This 300-nucleotide ribosomal RNA is filed under the name uncultured Bradyrhizobium sp. RNAcentral's name for it is "bacterial SSU rRNA". The stretch from base 55 to 300 matches the Rfam family "Bacterial small subunit ribosomal RNA", at positions 549 to 795 of the family's 1533-position model. Lineage: Bacteria; Pseudomonadati; Pseudomonadota; Alphaproteobacteria; Hyphomicrobiales; Nitrobacteraceae. The record is from RNAcentral.
UGAUGAUUGAGGGGGAGCAGAGUGAGUAAUGCGGAGGAGCAGAGGUGUAUGCGUAUUGAUUGGGUUUGAAGGGUGCGUAGGUGAGGUGUGAAGUCAGCGGUGAAAGUUGGCAGCUUAACUGUAAGAAGGGCGUGUGAAGUGUCGGACUAUAGUGUAGAUGGUGUAGGCGGAAUGCGUGGUGUAGCGGUGAAAUGCAUAGAUAUCACGCAGAACUCCGAUUGCGAAGGCAGCUUACUAAGCUACAACUGACACUGAAGCACGAAAGCGUGGGGAUCAAACAGGAUUAGAACCCUAGUAGUG